RNAcentral lists this long non-coding RNA (1305 nucleotides) under Amphibalanus amphitrite. Its description in RNAcentral is "uncharacterized LOC122383535". Lineage: Eukaryota; Metazoa; Arthropoda; Thecostraca; Balanomorpha; Balanidae. The record is from RNAcentral.
CACGUCUUAAAUUGGUCGUAAUAAACAUUUCUUCCAAAAGGCGCCGUCGCCUGUUAGCACGCCGCCAUUUGUCGUGUUGUCGGUGUGUGGGUGAGGCUGGAAAUUAGCGCCGAAUUAUUGGUAAUUUGGUUCUUAUAGGUAAAAUUAGCAUUUUUUUAAAUAAUUUAGAUCAUGUUUGUAUAUUUGAAUAGCCUCAACGUUCAUGUGCGUCGGUAUAAAUAUUGAGAUAUCGCGAUAGAAUUUAUGAUGAUUUUGUAGGCUAUCAUGGCGCAUGAUUUCCGCGGUAUAAUAUUCUAAUUAUUUACAAAAUGUAUUGCUAUUUACAAGGUUAUAGUUUAUCUUAAUGUAAAUAAUAGGCAUAGUUUGUUGUUUGGGGCAAUUGUUGAUUAGGGAGGCACAUUGAACUGCCCACAGUAGCUAGAAAUGUUGUGGCCUGGCAGGUUGUGCAAAAGUUUGUAGUGUGGCCAUAUCAUUUAUUCUUGUCAAUUAUCUGUGCAAGCAGGGACCAAUAGGAUAUAUCUUUUAGUUUUUAAUAAAAAGUUAAGCUUCGGCUUAUGCUAGGUUAUUCAUACUUGCAUUCUAAGUGGCUUUGUCAUGGAUUCAUAGAACAAUAAUAGAAGUGGUGACUGCAAAUGUGUCUGUUUUUCCACAGCUCAUCAAAGCACCACCUCCUCGCUGUAGCGGUGGGCGUCACCACAGUUUUGUUCAGGAAGCUUGUGAUAAUGGUACCUACCGUCCUACCUUGAGGAAUUUUCAAUCAAAAAAUGAUAUGAUUAACUUCUUUGGAAUUAAGCGGACUAACUACAGCUACAUUUGUAUUAUGUGCAGCGCUCAUGCAAGACAGCAGGCCAGGAUGCAGGGACACACAGCUGCAGGGGAUCAGCUGGGAGAACCUGCAGCGCAUUCUCCAAGAGACGACGGAAGCCAACGGAGGCCCGCAAAACUUUCCACCCCAUAAUCGUGAAUGGAGAGCUGGGCGGGGAAGACGCGGUAUUCGUCCAGGCCCAGGAGGUGGUAUCGGCGCCACCAGACCAAGCAUUCCUGCUGUGGCAGGCCGCCUUUUGGAUUUUUAACAUCAAAACUCCUAAAAACAUGGUCAAUCUGAAUUGGUUUCUGAGAACCGAAGUGUUUGGUGGAGUGAAGGCCGAUGUGCCGCCAUCAGCGGCGGCCAUCGCGACCGUGAAGCAAGUGGAGUGAGAUCCCCGUAGAGCAUGCCGCGGCGGGGUGUCGGAAGCGUUUGCCAAUUCUUUGAGCCUUCCAUCGGCGCGGACUAUAAAUACACAUUUCAAUACACAUUUCUUGAAA